Molecule: ribosomal RNA, 1374 nt
Filed under: metagenome
Description: bacterial LSU rRNA
Rfam family: Bacterial large subunit ribosomal RNA
Source: RNAcentral
UUGCCGGCUCAAGGACAAGCUGUGACGGGUAUGAACGAUUUAUCGUUCUAAGUGAGUGACGUCACACUGCCAAGAAAAGCUUCUAGUUAGAAUCAGACCGCCCGUACCGCAAACCGACACAGGUAGUCGGGUCGAGAAGACCAAGGUGAGCGAGAGAACUCUCGUUAAGGAACUCGGCAAAAUGACCCCGUAACUUCGGGAGAAGGGGUGCUGAUCGCAAGAUCAGCCGCAGUGAAUAGGCCCAGGCGACUGUUUAUCAAAAACACAGGUUUCUGCAAAAUCGUAAGAUGAAGUAUAGGGGCUGACGCCUGCCCGGUGCUGGAAGGUUAAGAGGAUGGGUUAGCGUAAGCGAAGCUCAGAAUUGAAGCCCCAGUAAACGGCGGCCGUAACGAUAACGGUCCUAAGGUAGCGAAAUUCCUUGUCGGGUAAGUUCCGACCCGCACGAAAGGCGUAACGAUCUGGGCACUGUCUCAACGAGAGACUCGGUGAAAUUAUAAUACCCGUGAAGAUGCGGGUUACCCGCGACAGGACGGAAAGACCCCAUGGAGCUUUACUGUAGCUUGAUAUUGGGUGUUUGUACAACUUGUACAGGAUAGGUAGGAGCCGUAGAAGUCGGGACGCUAGUUUCGACGGAGGCAUCGGUGGGAUACUACCCUCGCUGUAUGAACACUCUAACCCACGCCGGCAAUCACGGCGGGAGACAGUGUCAGGUGGGCAGUUUGACUGGGGCGGUCGCCUCCUAAAAGGUAACGGAGGCGCCCAAAGGUUCCCUCAGAAUGGUUGGAAAUCAUUCGCAGAGUGUAAAGGCAUAAGGGAGCUUGACUGCGAGACCUACAAGUCGAGCAGGGACGAAAGUCGGGCUUAGUGAUCCGGUGGUUCCGCAUGGAAGGGCCAUCGCUCAACGGAUAGAGCUACCCUGGGGAUAACAGGCUUAUCUCCCCCAAGAGUCCACAUCGACGGGGAGGUUUGGCACCUCGAUGCCGGCUCAUCGCAUCCUGGGGCUGUAGUCGGUCCCAAGGGUUGGGCUGUUCGCCCAUUAAAGCGGUACGCGAGCUGGGUUCAGAACGUCGUGAGACAGUUCGGUCCCUAUCCGUCGCGGGCGCAGGAAAUUUGAGAGGAUCUGUCCUUAGUACGAGAGGACCGGGAUGGACAUACCGCUGGUGUACCAGUUGUUCUGCCAAGGGCAUCGCUGGGUAGCUAUGUAUGGAUGAGAUAAACGCUGAAAGCAUCUAAGUGCGAAACUCACCUCGAGAUAAGAUUUCCCACUCCUUUAUGGAGUUAAGACCCCUGAGAGAUGAUCAGGUAGAUAGGAUGGAAGUGGAAGUGCGGCGACGCAUGGAGCGGACCAUUACUAAUCGGUCGAGGACUUAACCU